Molecule: transfer RNA, 72 nt
Organism: Selaginella moellendorffii
Lineage: Eukaryota; Viridiplantae; Streptophyta; Lycopodiopsida; Selaginellales; Selaginellaceae
Rfam family: tRNA
About the family: Transfer RNA (tRNA) molecules are approximately 80 nucleotides in length. Their secondary structure includes four short double-helical elements and three loops (D, anti-codon, and T loops).
Source: Rfam
GGAGGUAUAGCUCAGCGGUAGAGCAAUCGGCUGCAGUCCGAUGGGUCGCUAGUUCAAUUCUGGCUUCCUCCU